RNAcentral lists this ribosomal RNA (496 nucleotides) under uncultured bacterium. RNAcentral describes it as "partial 16S ribosomal RNA". It matches the Rfam family "Bacterial small subunit ribosomal RNA", at positions 28 to 506 of the family's 1533-position model. The record is from RNAcentral.
GAUGAACGCUGGCGGCGUGCCUAAUACAUGCAAGUCGAGCGAACAGACGAGGAGCUUGCUCCUUCGACGUUAGCGGCGGACGGGUGAGUAACACGUAGGUAACCUACCUAUAAGACUGGGAUAACUUCGGGAAACCGGAGCUAAUACCGGAUAAUAUUUCGAACCGCAUGGUUCGAUAGUGAAAGAUGGCUUUGCUAUCACUUAUAGAUGGACCUGCGCCGUAUUAGCUAGUUGGUAAGGUAACGGCUUACCAAGGCAACGAUACGUAGCCGACCUGAGAGGGUGAUCGGCCACACUGGAACUGAGACACGGUCCAGACUCCUACGGGAGGCAGCAGUAGGGAAUCUUCCGCAAUGGGCGAAAGCCUGACGGAGCAACGCCGCGUGAGUGAUGAAGGUCUUCGGAUCGUAAAUCUCUGUUAUUAGGGAAGAACAAACGUGUAAGUAACUGUGCACGUCUUGACGGUACCUAAUCAGAAAGCCACGGCUAACUACGU